This 77-nucleotide transfer RNA is filed under the name Natranaerobius trueperi. RNAcentral describes it as "tRNA-Met". It matches the Rfam family "tRNA". Rfam says of the family: Transfer RNA (tRNA) molecules are approximately 80 nucleotides in length. Their secondary structure includes four short double-helical elements and three loops (D, anti-codon, and T loops). Further hydrogen bonds mediate the characteristic L-shaped molecular structure. tRNAs have two regions of fundamental functional importance: the anti-codon, which is responsible for specific mRNA codon recognition, and the 3' end, to which the tRNAs corresponding amino acid is attached (by aminoacyl-tRNA synthetases). tRNAs cope with the degeneracy of the genetic code in two manners: having more than one tRNA (with a specific anti-codon) for a particular amino acid; and 'wobble' base-pairing, i.e. permitting non-standard base-pairing at the 3rd anti-codon position. RNAcentral also lists the same sequence under 1 other name. The record is from RNAcentral. Lineage: Bacteria; Bacillati; Bacillota; Clostridia; Natranaerobiales; Natranaerobiaceae.
CGCGGGGUGGAGCAGCCUGGUAGCUCGUCGGGCUCAUAACCCGGAGGUCGCAGGUUCAAAUCCUGCCCCCGCAACCA